This 460-nucleotide ribosomal RNA is filed under the name uncultured bacterium. RNAcentral describes it as "partial 16S ribosomal RNA". It matches the Rfam family "Bacterial small subunit ribosomal RNA", at positions 338 to 795 of the family's 1533-position model. The record is from RNAcentral.
CCUACGGGUGGCUGCAGUGAGGAAUAUUGGUCAAUGGGCGCGAGCCUGAACCAGCCAAGUAGCGUGAAGGAUGACUGCCCUACGGGUUGUAAACUGCUUUUAUAAAGGAAUAAAGUGAGUCACGUGUGCCGUUUUGCAUGUACUUUAUGAAUAAGGAUCGGCUAACUCCGUGCCAGCAGCCGCGGUAAUACGGAGGAUCCGAGCGUUAUCCGGAUUUAUUGGGUUUAAAGGGAGCGUAGGUGGUUUGUUAAGUGAGUUGUGAAAGUUUGGGGCUCAACCGGAAAAUUGCAAUUGAUACUGGCAGCCUUGAGUACAGGUGAGGUAGGCGGAAUUCGUGGUGUAGCGGUGAAAUGCUUAGAUAUCACGAAGAACCCCGAUUGCGAAGGCAGCCUACUAAACUGCCACUGACAUUGAUGCUCGAAAGUGUGGGUAUCAAACAGGAUUAGAUACCCGAGUAGUC